GAUGUAGCUCAGUGGCAGAGUGCUUGCCUGGGAUGCUUGAGGCCCUGGGUUCAAUACCCAGUAUC
Molecule: transfer RNA, 65 nt
Filed under: Urocitellus parryii (Arctic ground squirrel)
Lineage: Eukaryota; Metazoa; Chordata; Mammalia; Rodentia; Sciuridae
Also listed under: 2 other names
Description: Spermophilus parryii (Arctic ground squirrel) tRNA
Rfam family: tRNA
About the family: Transfer RNA (tRNA) molecules are approximately 80 nucleotides in length. Their secondary structure includes four short double-helical elements and three loops (D, anti-codon, and T loops).
Source: Rfam by way of RNAcentral